CCUACGGGAGGCAGCAGUGAGGAAUAUUGGUCAAUGGGCGCGAGCCUGAACCAGCCAAGUCGCGUGAGGGAUGGCGGCCCUACGGGUUGUAAACCUCUUUUGCCGGGGAGCAACGGGCGCCACGUGUGGCGCCACUGAGAGUACCCGGAGAAAAAGCAUCGGCUAACUCCGUGCCAGCAGCCGCGGUAAUACGGAGGAUGCGAGCGUUAUCCGGAUUUAUUGGGUUUAAAGGGUGCGUAGGCGGAUCGUUAAGUCAGUGGUCAAAUUGAGGGGCUCAACCCCUUCCCGCCAUUGAAACUGGCGAUCUUGAGUGGAAGAGACGUAUGCGGAAUGCGUGGUGUAGCGGUGAAAUGCAUAGAUAUCACGCAGAACCCCGAUUGCGAAGGCAGCAUGCCGGCUUCCGACUGACGCUGAAGCACGAAAGCGUGGGGAUCGAACAGGAUUAGAUACCCCAGUAGUC
This 460-nucleotide ribosomal RNA is filed under the name uncultured bacterium. RNAcentral describes it as "partial 16S ribosomal RNA". It matches the Rfam family "Bacterial small subunit ribosomal RNA", at positions 338 to 795 of the family's 1533-position model. The record is from RNAcentral.